ACUGGAGGGGAAUAGGAAGAAGGAACUUGGAAAAUGAUAUCACAGGAUCCAGAAAGGCAAAAGAAAGAGUCGUGGCUACUCAUGAGAGUAGAGGGAUAGCCUGUCUUAGGAGGUCCAAGGGUCCUAUGUAGUAGGCAUCAGGCAAGGUGAGUUUGGGGGUUAACUGUCCUAGCAGCAGACUGCAGUUGUGUGUCCAGAGGUGCUGGAGAGAGGUGGCAGGCACGGCUUCCUCUCCUGGCCUCCUAGGCCCUACAAGGGUUCCAGAUGCAGGUUGGGCGGCUGGGAUCUCCCGAGGACACUGUGUGCCCAGACGAUGCCGUUUCACUCUCUGUAGCUGCCGCGGGAUUCCAUGGCCCCGUUUCCAGAAAUAUUCUAUUCCAAGGACAGUG
RNAcentral lists this long non-coding RNA (389 nucleotides) under Rattus norvegicus (Norway rat). RNAcentral's name for it is "long non-coding RNA NONRATT009533". Lineage: Eukaryota; Metazoa; Chordata; Mammalia; Rodentia; Muridae. The record is from RNAcentral.